GGGAUACUUUUAUUUAGAACAUUUCGUAAAUUCCGUGACCCGGAAGUACUUUUUUUAGUGUUGCUGACGAGACGCUGAACAAGUGACGAGUUUGAACAUUAAAUGCCAACUUGUGCUGCCACCCGACAAGUUUCUGGCGCAGCACAGCAAUGGUCUUAUCCAGAUGGUGGGACAAAGGCAUUUCCUAACAAACAUGCUAACUUUCUUUAAGGUUGGAACCAACAUGCAGUAACUCCAGCAGGAACAGGCUAACGCGGUCAAGAGACACAUACUAUCCGGGUUGAUAUUCAGCAUAGUAGUGGUGCCAGUGGUAACUACUCACCCUCAACGUGGAUGACCCCCACAAGGUCUACCGCUGGUUUUUCCCUUUCUUCCUGUUCUCCUAUCUUCCCCUGCUCUGGCGGAUGGACACCACCUCCAGGGCGAGAGAUGAACCACUGAACCUACCAGAACAAUGAUACACUCACCUUCAACCUGCCAGCUGUGUGUGUGUGUGUACAGUACAUCACAGAGCUGUGCUUAACUUGCUUGAAGGUAACUUUGCUAAAUUUACGUUAUAUCCUUUAAAUGAUACACAAUUACAAUAGGCACAAGUUAUUGUCCCCCAUGUAAACCAACCAGUGACGCCAAGAGCUUUUAUUUUUACCUAGAAAAUACAUUCCACUGUAUGUAUAGGCCAUCAUUGUAAAUAAUAAUUUGUUCUUAACUGACUUGCCUAGUUAAAUAAAGGUUUAAUAAAAAUCUAAAAUACAAAUUAAUAAAGUAAAAACAACUUGCAGUAAUUAAAAUUUACCAGUAGAGGGAGGCAGACUCUCUUGCAAGAUUAGAUCCCUGACUGUCAUUGUCCACUUCCUCCUUUCAUAUUGGUCUAUAAUGGUAUUAUUCCAGAACCUGUUCAGCACUUUGAACAUGUCUUGUCAGGGUUUCCUUACAAUGGAAUGGGCGGCAGGUAGCCUAGCAGUUAAGAAAGUUGGGCCAUUAACCAAAAGGUUUCUGGUUUGAAUCCCCAAACUGACUAGGUGAUUUUAUUUUUGUCAAUGUGCCCUUGAGCUAGGCACUUAAUCCUAAUUGCUUCUGUAAAUCUCGCUGGAUAAGCGUGUGAUGUAAAUAAGUGUAUGCAUCCCUAUUCUUCUCCUCUGUCGUCCUAUUCAAACUGAUCCCGGUAAUCCUUCUGUACGAGACGCUCGUUUGCAUAAUCUGAAUCAGGCAAGGGCUACAGCUGCUUCUCAUUGGCCGUUUAACAGCGAGGAGCACUCGCUAAGAAGCAUAACCACUACUCUGACAUCACAACACUGAGCAGGUACAGUGCCUUCAGAAUGAAUUCGCACCCAUUUUCUACAUUUUGUCGUGUUACAGCCUGAAUUUGAAAUGGAUUACAUUGAGAUGUUGUGUCACUGAUCCACACACAAUACCCCGUUAUGUCAAAGUGGAAUUAUGUUCUUAGAAAUGAUCAACAACCAAUUUGACAGAGCUUGGAAGACUUUUUGAAAGAAUAAUGGGCAAAUAUUGUUCAAUCCAGGUGUGCAAAACUCUUAGGCCCCAAUUCCGACCCGAAAUUAAGAGUGUCUAAAGGGAACGUAGCAUUGGAAGAGCAUGCUAUUCACCCACUAUUCGUUUUGGGUGGAGAUGGAAUAAAUGAAGGCGUGGCGGAGGUUUGUCUACAGCUACACCGUAUUCUGACCUUGACUUCAUUCCCUCAUAAUUCCACCACCUUUACACGUGAGGAAACCAUGAGAUUGGUCAAGCGAACCUGCCGGAUCCAAGUGGAAAAAGCAUCUACUUUCCUUUUCCUAAUGGAAAUAACAGAAUUUCCCGUGCACAUUUAUACAUUUAUAAUUGUAUUUAUAAAUUGGUAAGUGCUAUUGAUAAGAGCUGGGUAAAUGAGUAAUCUGUUUGUAGAAGGGGAUUGCAAAUAGUAAUUGUUUUAAAAUAUUUUUUUCCUUAUGAUCCCUGGGGAUUCAUGUGAAACUAGCCAUACGGAAGCAAACUGAAAGUCAUAUCAACAUGACAUCUAUUGCCCCUUUUCCAUGGUCAAAUUGGAAAUAAACCGUUUUGUCGUUAUUCUGAAUUUGAAUUGUGUGCCCUCGUAAUUUGCACGGAUGAAAUGUGGAGACUAAUGCUACAGACAUCAGUAGGGCUGAUGAGUUGAUCUAUGCACUUUGUUUUGACUAUGUGCCCGGGCUUUUCUCCAUUUUAUUUGACCGUUUGUAACAUGUUAAAUAUUAGCCACUAUCGGGAGCCACCGUUAGUAAUACCCACGCGCAUGUAUUUUUUGCAUCAUUCCAUUCUGUUUACCUCUCUUCCCUCUGUCACAUCCUUGUAGUUGUUCCUGAGGGUCGCUGGCAUUAGUGGAUCACAUUAGGCUAACGUUGUACAAUCGUUUGACAUGUAGCCUAUUUGAAUCAUUAUGGAACUCAGACCACGCGUAGCAGGUUAAACCUGGAGCACAGUUCAUAACGACUGGAUCGUAGUCGUAUGAUCAGCGAGGAUCAGGGUAGAUUUAUAGGACUGUUGUUCAACCCCUAUCGUGCGCCUUUUCCCCACCUCCCGAUAUUUGGUGGAUUGAUCUUGAAUAUGGCAACUUUCAGGGUGAAUCAAACCACUGUACUUUUUAGUCGCCGUUAUAUUUUGUGUGCAAAGGUUCAUUUUUGUACUUUCCUAACCCUAACGUGACUGAAUAAUCUACAUGAAUGUAUCUACCAGUUGGUGCUGAAACAGAGACGAAUAUGCAUAGAUGGCUUUCUUUCUUGGCAGCCUAUAUUCUGACCCUGUUCUCUCAAUGUGUUCUAAUGAGUCUGUCGACCAAAUUCUAAUUAAAAGUACACCUUAUUUAAACAGAUGGCUGAGGACAAAUGUACUUUUAAAGCCCAUUGAAUGAAAACUCAGUGAGAAUAUCUGUUGGCAACUCAAUAAGGCAAGUCUGAAUCGCCAAAUACUGAGAAGUGUGUAGGAAAGGCAUGUAUAGGAAGGGCAUACAUUCCUAAGUCAGGAUCGGGACCUUAGACUUACCCAGGAUGAUGGAGUGUUUCUUCCACUUUGACACGACAGAGUAUUUUGUGUAGAUCGUUGACAGAAAAUUAACAAGUCCAUUGUAAUCCAACUUUGUAACAAAAAGAAAUGUGAGCAAAAGUCAAGGGCGUGAAUACUUUCUGAACGCACUAUAUAUGGAUCCCUAACAUAGACAUAUUACACACACAAAUGUAUUACCACAGCCUUACCUCAUACACUCACAGCCAUUGGAAAUAGGAUACUCAUUUUUAAAUCCCAUUUGACUAAAGCAACUUUAUCGACUUCAGGGUGGCAAAUUGGCAUACCUCCAAACAUACAACUAUGCAUGCCGUAGGUUCACCCUUCACACGCCAAUAAAUCACUGUCAAAUUUGAGGCAGCCCUACUGCCAAUGUAUGUAAUCACCAGCCUUUUGAAUGGCUCACUAUGUCCAAAACGGACACACAGAGAGUGGCAUCUCCACACAUUCUUAAGAGAGUGCAAAAGCAACACACCCAUUAAAAAACAGGCAGAAACUGACCGACAAAGAUUCAGCAAACACACACACACACACCACUGCACUAAUUAUUACGUUAAUGCCACGAGACAGUCAGUGUGAAAGGCAUUAGAGUUCAUCCGUCCGCUCAUCCCCAUGGACAAGAAGAGAGGCUUCUGCAUAUAUGGUGUCCGCAGAUGAAGACACACAUACACUACUAGAUAGUCAACUGAGGGCGUCGUCACAGGAUGUCUUGGUUAAUAAGCACUCUCACACCCUGCAAUACAAAGUCUACACCACAGUGUGGGUGAGAGAAGGAACAGGAGGGAGGGAGGGAAAGGGGAUUGAAUGGGAGAGGUGGAUGAGAGAGAAAAAAAGAGGGAUGUGGAAGGGUUGGGAUGAGAGCGAGGAGAAAGAUGCAGAUGAUACUGUCUGAAGUGUGUGGGAGAGAAAGAUGGAAGGAAAGAGA
This is a long non-coding RNA of Oncorhynchus kisutch (coho salmon), 3952 nucleotides long. RefSeq lists it as uncharacterized. Lineage: Eukaryota; Metazoa; Chordata; Actinopteri; Salmoniformes; Salmonidae. The record is from RefSeq and is a predicted model, not a curated record. The transcript has 5 exons.